This 77-nucleotide transfer RNA is filed under the name Staphylococcus xeri. RNAcentral describes it as "Staphylococcus sp. 17KM0847 tRNA-Pro". It matches the Rfam family "tRNA". From Rfam's summary of the family: Transfer RNA (tRNA) molecules are approximately 80 nucleotides in length. The record is from RNAcentral. Lineage: Bacteria; Bacillati; Bacillota; Bacilli; Caryophanales; Staphylococcaceae.
CGGGAAGUAGCUCAGCUUGGUAGAGCACUUGGUUUGGGACCAAGGGGUCGCAGGUUCAAAUCCUGUCUUCCCGAUCA